UACGAAGGGGGCUAGCGUUGCUCGGAAUCACUGGGCGUAAAGGGCGCGUAGGCGGCUUAUCAAGUCGGGGGGGAAAGCCCGUGGCUCAACCACGGAAUGGCCUUCGAUACUGGUAGGCUUGAGACCGGAAGAGGACAGCGGAACUGCGAGUGUAGAGGUGAAAUUCGUAGAUAUUCGCAAGAACACCAGUGGCGAAGGCGGCUGUCUGGUCCGGUUCUGACGCUGAGGCGCGAAAGCGUGGGGAGCAAACAGG
RNAcentral lists this ribosomal RNA (253 nucleotides) under uncultured bacterium. RNAcentral describes it as "partial 16S ribosomal RNA". It matches the Rfam family "Bacterial small subunit ribosomal RNA", at positions 524 to 776 of the family's 1533-position model. The record is from RNAcentral.